Molecule: non-coding RNA, 102 nt
Filed under: Corynebacterium falsenii
Lineage: Bacteria; Bacillati; Actinomycetota; Actinomycetes; Mycobacteriales; Corynebacteriaceae
Description: Glycine riboswitch
Rfam family: Glycine riboswitch aptamer
About the family: This family represents the bacterial glycine riboswitch.
Source: RNAcentral
CACCUCUGGAAAGAUCCCCGAGCCGUCGUAUGCCGCGGGGGCACCGAAGGAGAAAAGCGCCUAGCGCGCCCAAGCUCUCAGGUACCAACGACAGAGCGGGGA